GCCAGCCUUCCUCUUCAACUCCGGAGUCAUACUCUUCCUCGGAUGAAUCUUUAGUCGGAGUCCUACAAUUAAAAUGAACUGAUCAGCACUGAAGUCAUCAUUUCAACAGGAAUUCAGCCAACCAGCCACCUCCAGGAACUCCUUUCCCCAUCCUUUCACCUUUGUGGGAAGCAGAGCCUCAACCCCUCUCAAGAAUACCAGCAGAAAUAUCUUGCAAACAGCCCGGGUAGCCAUCAACUUUGAGCUACUUCAGACUAAGGGAAUCAGAGGAGCCAGUUUUGAUUUUUUUCUCCAAGAAUUUCAAUGCCCUGCCUAUUACUAAGGACUAACAAUGAUAAUUCCCCCCCUUCUUCAGGAAAUUCAACACAAUCACCCAUUUAAACAGAGUGUUAUAUGUUCUUGAUAAAGUCAUUGUACUAUUUACCCACAGACAGGCACACGUCAAGUUAAAACAAAUGUCAUGUAUUUACAUUUAUUUGGUAAUUUACAGUUAUUUUUAUAUUUUUAAUCAGAAAGAAGCCAAGGUGUCUCGACUAUGUAGCAAGUGCCCUUUACCUACUGUGUAUGGCACAUAGAAAGAAGGAUUCUUGGUUUUAAAAGGUGCGCACAAUUUUUAUUUUCUUGUUUCUAACGCACCUAAUUGACAAGCAGUAGGGCACUUGCCUAGAUGUGCUACCAGUCUGCUGUGGUAUUGCCAUUCCUAUUUUACCUAAUGUAUCCUGGCUCUUUUUUGCCUUCUACAACAUCUUUGUCGACCUCCACACAUACAAUAUCAGAAUUCGGUACUUCGAACAUGGGCUCCAACAACAACUUCUCCUACGAGGAAAGAAAAACAAACGUGUAUUUCACCUAGUCCUUCACACAAUAAUGGUUGGUUGGGUACUCUGUUAGAAGAAAUCUGACUACCCUUACCACUGGGAAAAGGUUUAUUCUCCAUAACUGAACAUCCCACUUAAAUUACCCUUAAAGAACAAGCUCUCUUGACAAGGACAAUGCGCAUAAUUCAAAUACAUCUACUCAGGAUGCAAAUAAUUAGUGCUACUUAAUAAAGAGCUCACCAUUAUAGAU
Molecule: long non-coding RNA, 1068 nt
Organism: Alligator mississippiensis (American alligator)
Lineage: Eukaryota; Metazoa; Chordata; Crocodylia; Alligatoridae
Exons: 2
Source: RefSeq, a predicted model, not a curated record